RNAcentral lists this ribosomal RNA (498 nucleotides) under uncultured bacterium. RNAcentral describes it as "partial 16S ribosomal RNA". It matches the Rfam family "Bacterial small subunit ribosomal RNA", at positions 30 to 523 of the family's 1533-position model. The record is from RNAcentral.
AUUGAACGCUGGCGGCAUGCUUUACACAUGCAAGUCGAACGGUAACAGGCCGCAAGGUGCUGACGAGUGGCGAACGGGUGAGUAAUGCAUCGGAACGUGCCCAGUCGUGGGGGAUAACGCAGCGAAAGCUGUGCUAAUACCGCAUACGAUCUAUGGAUGAAAGCGGGGGACCGUAAGGCCUCGCGCGAUUGGAGCGGCCGAUGUCAGAUUAGGUAGUUGGUGGGGUAAAGGCUCACCAAGCCACCGAUCAGUAGCUGGUCUGAGAGGACCACCAGCCACACUGGGACUGAGACACGGCCCAGACUCCUACGGGCGGCAGCAGUGGGGAAUUUUGGACAAUGGGCGCAAGGCUGAUCCAGAAAUGCCGCGUGCAGGAAGAAGGCCUUCGGGUUGUAAACUGCUUUUGUACGGAACGAAAAGGUUUGGGUUAAUACCCUGGGCCGAUGACGGUACCGUAAGAAUAAGCACCGGCUAACUACGUGCCAGCCGCCGCCGUAA